This 95-nucleotide transfer RNA is filed under the name Phytohabitans aurantiacus. RNAcentral describes it as "Micromonospora sp. RD004123 tRNA-Pro". The record is from RNAcentral. Lineage: Bacteria; Bacillati; Actinomycetota; Actinomycetes; Micromonosporales; Micromonosporaceae.
GGUGCCCGGCGCGGGCGAUCCAGGCGCAUCGGUGCCGGGAGCACCGGGAGCGGGCGGCGGUGCGUCCGAUACCGGUGCCGCCGCGGUGGGCGCGG